UCGCCCUUUGGAAAGUCUCUUGCAUAAAGAGGGCAAGUUAAUCACAUAAGGCUUCUCAGUAGCAGCCCCAGGGGUGGAGGAGGACUUUGUACUGAGUCAUUUAGGGAGGAGUUCUGAGGAGGUGGGAGGAGUUUUGGGGAAGUGGAGAGGGGUUCUGAGAAGGCAGGAGGGGUUUGGGGGAGGUGGGGAGAGGUUCUGAAGAGGUGGGGAGGAGUUCUGAGGGGGUGGGAGAGGUGUGAGGAGCGGGAGUUCUGAAGAGGUGGGAGAAAUUGUGAGAAGGUGAAAGGAGUUCUGAGGAGGCGGGAGGAGUUCUGAGGAGGUGGGAGGAGCUCUGAAGAGGAAUCCUGAGGAGCCAGGAGGAAUUCUGAGGAAGUGAAAGGAGUUCUGAGGAGGAAGGAGGAAUUCUGAGGAGGUGGGAGGAGUUCUGAGGAAGGAGGAGGAGUUCUGAGGAGGGAGGAGGAAUACUGAGGUGGGAGGAGUUCUGAGGAUGGAGGAGGAGUUCUGAGGAAGGAGGAGGAGUUCUGAGGAGGGAGGAGGAAUUCUGAGGAGGUGGGAAGAGUUCUGAGGAGGGAGGAGGAAUUCUGAGGAGGUGGGAAGAGUUCUGAGGAGGGAGGAGGAAUUCUGAGGAGGUGGGAGGAGUUCUGAGGAGGGAGGAGGAAUCCUGAGGAGGCAGGAGUUCUGAGGAGGGAGGAAAAAUCCUGAGGAGGCAGGAGUUCUGAGGAGGGAGGAGGAAUCCUGAGGAGGCAGGAGUUGUGAGGAGGGAGGAGGAAUCCUGAGAAGGAAUCCUGAGGUAGGAGGAGUUCCGAGGGGGUGGGGAGUUCUGAGGAGGUGGGAGGAGUUCUGAGGAGGGAGAAGGAAUUCUGAGGAGGGGGGAGGAGUUCUGAGGAGGGAGAAGGAAUUCUGAGGAAGGAGGAGGAGUUCUGAGGAGGGAGGAGGAAUUCUGAGGAGGUGGGAGGAGUUCUGAGGAGGCAGGAGGAAUUCUGAGGAGGGAGGAGGAGUUCUGAGGAGGUGGGAGGAGUUCUGAGGAGGUGGGAGGAGUUCUGAGGAGGUGGGAGGAAUUCUAAUGGGGGGAGUUCUGAGGAGGGGGAGGAAUUCUGAGGAGGUAGGAGGAGUUCUGAGGAGGCAGGAGGAGUUCUGAGGAUGUGGGAGGAGUUCUGAGGAGGUGGGAGGAAUUCCCAGGAGGUGGGAGAAGUUCUGAGGAGGGAGGAGGAGAGAGGCAUCCUAGGUCAAGCCAGAAAGAAGAGUGGUGAAAUUGCUUCCUGAUUCCUCCUUGGUGACUCUGAGGUUAGAGAGGAAGCUAAACUCUGAAGCCCACCUUAUAUACGGAAGAUGAUCUGGGGUCUGUGGCAUUCCAGGUCCUGCUCUCUCCCUAGGCCAUCACUUCAGAUCUGCAAUGGACUUUGUAUGUCAGCCAUGAUAAACCAAGGCCAUACCAGUUUUCUAUUUGGUCCUCAAAUGUACCAAACUCUUUCCUGCCCCAGGGACUUUGCGUAUGUUGUCUCCUAUACCUGGAAUAUAUGUUUUCCAAGCCUCUGUCUCUGAGACUCGGAUGAAAUGUCAUUUCCUCAGACUGGCCUUUCCUGACCACUCCACUUGCCCCUCCCACCCUUAGUCUGCAUUAUGCCCCCUAGUAUUUUCUCCCCCAGUUUCCCGUUCUUUUCCUUAUCUCACUCUGAAGCUGUGGGCUCCUUUGAUGAACACAUACCCUCCACAGGGCAGGAAUCCUGCUGUUUAUCAAUUUGGUACACACUGCCCCUUGCACACAGCAAGUGCACAAAAAGCAUUUGUUAAAUAUGUAUAGAAGCAAUACCAGGCCCCAAGACAGUGGCCCUGCCUGUGAUAUAGUGGGAAGACAGAUAAACACGUACUUAAGACCAGGGUUGGGUCCUCCUGGGACCAGGACUUUAGGAACGCUGGGAUUAAUUACCAAAGGGAGCAACAGAGACAUUUGACAUAGUUGGUUUUGUAGUAGUAGGAAGGCCGCUGAACAGCAGAGGGAAGGUGUGGGAGUUACAGAAGAAAGGAACUCUGGGUAACAGACUGCACUACUGCACUCCAACCUGGGUAACAGAGUUUUUGACCCUAUCGCA
Molecule: long non-coding RNA, 2090 nt
Filed under: Homo sapiens (human)
Lineage: Eukaryota; Metazoa; Chordata; Mammalia; Primates; Hominidae
Description: HSALNT0354463
Source: RNAcentral